UGGUACAACUAGCUAGCAUUGUCGAUGGUGUAGGUACGGACGAGCCAUUGUUGAUGGCAUAUAUGCAUCCGGGUUCACCUCCUGAUCAGUGCGGAGGCGGUAGCGUUGGAGCCAUUGUCGAUGGCGUCCGGACAUGUUGAUGGUGUAGACAUGUUUGACGUCGACAUGCUCGUCCAGCACCGUCGUCGGAGCAUCUCCUGAGGCUCGC
This 208-nucleotide long non-coding RNA is filed under the name Sorghum bicolor (sorghum). Its description in RNAcentral is "long non-coding RNA (SBIC_LNC009662)". Lineage: Eukaryota; Viridiplantae; Streptophyta; Magnoliopsida; Poales; Poaceae. The record is from RNAcentral.